RNAcentral lists this ribosomal RNA (1723 nucleotides) under Klebsiella sp. H-Nf2. RNAcentral's name for it is "bacterial LSU rRNA". It matches the Rfam family "Bacterial large subunit ribosomal RNA", at positions 1 to 1756 of the family's 2925-position model. The record is from RNAcentral. Lineage: Bacteria; Pseudomonadati; Pseudomonadota; Gammaproteobacteria; Enterobacterales; Enterobacteriaceae.
GGGUUGUGAGGUUAAGCGACUAAGCGUACACGGUGGAUGCCCUGGCAGUCAGAGGCGAUGAAGGACGUGCUAAUCUGCGAAAAGCGUCGGUAAGGUGAUAUGAACCGUUAUAGCCGGCGAUGUCCGAAUGGGGAAACCCAGUGCAAUUCGUUGCACUAUCGUUAACUGAAUACAUAGGUUAACGAGGCGAACCGGGGGAACUGAAACAUCUAAGUACCCCGAGGAAAAGAAAUCAACCGAGAUUCCCCCAGUAGCGGCGAGCGAACGGGGAGCAGCCCAGAGUCUGAAUCAGCUUGUGUGUUAGUGGAACGGUCUGGAAAGUCCGACGGUACAGGGUGAUAGUCCCGUACACCAAAAUGCACAGGCUGUGAACUCGAAGAGUAGGGCGGGACACGUGGUAUCCUGUCUGAAUAUGGGGGGACCAUCCUCCAAGGCUAAAUACUCCUGACUGACCGAUAGUGAACCAGUACCGUGAGGGAAAGGCGAAAAGAACCCCGGCGAGGGGAGUGAAAAAGAACCUGAAACCGUGUACGUACAAGCAGUGGGAGCACCCUUUAGGGUGUGACUGCGUACCUUUUGUAUAAUGGGUCAGCGACUUAUAUUCUGUAGCAAGGUUAACCGUAUAGGGGAGCCGCAGGGAAACCGAGUCUUAACUGGGCGUUAAGUUGCAGGGUAUAGACCCGAAACCCGGUGAUCUAGCCAUGGGCAGGUUGAAGGUUGGGUAACACUAACUGGAGGACCGAACCGACUAAUGUUGAAAAAUUAGCGGAUGACUUGUGGCUGGGGGUGAAAGGCCAAUCAAACCGGGAGAUAGCUGGUUCUCCCCGAAAGCUAUUUAGGUAGCGCCUCGUGAACUCAUCUUCGGGGGUAGAGCACUGUUUCGGCUAGGGGGUCAUCCCGACUUACCAACCCGAUGCAAACUACGAAUACCGAAGAAUGUUAUCACGGGAGACACACGGCGGGUGCUAACGUCCGUCGUGAAGAGGGAAACAACCCAGACCGCCAGCUAAGGUCCCAAAGUCAUGGUUAAGUGGGAAACGAUGUGGGAAGGCACAGACAGCCAGGAUGUUGGCUUAGAAGCAGCCAUCAUUUAAAGAAAGCGUAAUAGCUCACUGGUCGAGUCGGCCUGCGCGGAAGAUGUAACGGGGCUAAACCAUGCACCGAAGCUGCGGCAGCGACACUAUGUGUUGUUGGGUAGGGGAGCGUUCUGUAAGCCUGCGAAGGUGGCCUGUGAGGGCUGCUGGAGGUAUCAGAAGUGCGAAUGCUGACAUAAGUAACGAUAAAGCGGGUGAAAAGCCCGCUCGCCGGAAGACCAAGGGUUCCUGUCCAACGUUAAUCGGGGCAGGGUGAGUCGACCCCUAAGGCGAGGCCGAAAGGCGUAGUCGAUGGGAAACAGGUUAAUAUUCCUGUACUUGGUGUUACUGCGAAGGGGGGACGGAGAAGGCUAUGUUAGCCGGGCGACGGUUGUCCCGGUUUAAGCAUGUAGGCGGAGGUUCCAGGUAAAUCCGGUACCUUUUAACGCUGAGGUGUGAUGACGAGGCACUACGGUGCUGAAGUAACAAAUGCCCUGCUUCCAGGAAAAGCCUCUAAGCAUCAGGUAACAUUAAAUCGUACCCCAAACCGACACAGGUGGUCAGGUAGAGAAUACCAAGGCGCUUGAGAGAACUCGGGUGAAGGAACUAGGCAAAAUGGUGCCGUAACUUCGGGAGAAGGCACGCUGAUA